GUCUAGUGGUAGUGAAGAAAUCCAUACAGGAAUACCAGAUACGGAGUAGAGCUGAGAAAACUCUGUCCUGGAACUGAGUCUGGGGCCUAGAUGAAAGGCCCUGCAGCAGCUCAAAUGGUAGUCAAGGCAGAUGUAAGAUCUGAAAGGAGGCACUUCUGUUGGAUGAGAUGGUGUAUUUUUUAAAUAAGCAAUUCUGAGUUAAAGGACUGACAGACAUUAACAUGGAUGCAAGACAAGGAAUCUCUCUAAAAUGGGCAGAGUAUGCAAGUGAGAGAAUGGUGAAAGCAAGGAAAAAGGAAAGACUUGAUAUGGGACCAGAACUUCAUCUGAGAGAUGAUGUUCAACUCCUAAUAAGACCUGUCUGCAAAAUGAUAGAAGCCACC
This 383-nucleotide long non-coding RNA is filed under the name Anas platyrhynchos platyrhynchos (common mallard). RNAcentral's name for it is "lncRNA (ENSAPLG00000018687.1)". Lineage: Eukaryota; Metazoa; Chordata; Aves; Anseriformes; Anatidae. The record is from RNAcentral.